Long non-coding RNA from Argentina anserina (silverweed cinquefoil), 592 nucleotides. RefSeq lists it as uncharacterized. Lineage: Eukaryota; Viridiplantae; Streptophyta; Magnoliopsida; Rosales; Rosaceae. The transcript is spliced from 3 exons. The record is from RefSeq and is a predicted model, not a curated record.
CCUCCACUUAUUCCUUCUCCUCACGCCGCCGUCGUCCGGCCAAAACGGACUGGCGCACCACCACCAAAUUCUUCCCUUUCUCUUCCUCUACAAGACUCAUGCCUUGCAUGUGGAAUUGAUGACGUAUUUCCUCCAAAUAAAAAACGAAGCAGUGGAGCUAUCUUGGGAUUCCGGCGAGUUGUUGAUCUCCGUUGAGCUCUUACAUCAUCUAUUGGUAAGUCUAGCCCCUAAUCUUUAUUCCCAAUCCAUUUGUACCUUUGGUUUCAUGAUUUGAAGCUUGACACAAUUUCUCAUUUUUCUGGGUUCGUCAUUGCCGCACUACCACCGUAAAUCCCCUUCCUUCUCGGCGUAACCAAGGCUUUACGAUAGGCAUAUCAACCUUAUCUCACGACUUUCAUGGUUUAUGACGAUGAUUGGGAAGUUUGGAUGAGUUCUGGAGCUGCAGAAACAUGUGAAAGAGGUGCAACAGCCUCGGCUCUACAUUUUCAACUUAUGGAGAGUUGAUACAAUGAGAUCGUACAAAGCUGGAGCAGCAAUAACAACAUUACUUUGGGAUUGGAUGAGCAACGUGGAUUCUGCACUUCAAUCCAGG